UUUAAUUUCAAAAAAUAUAGGACCAAUUGCAUUCUUCUCCAUUUAAAUUCUAGUUUCUAUAAAUGAUUUUUAAUAUUUUUUAUUUUGUCAUUUGAUAUUUUUUGUGAAUUUUCUCUUUUCUGGUUAUAUUUAAUUCAUUUUAAAUAGUUUUUUAUAUUCAAAAAAUACAAAAAUAUUUUAAUUCAAGUUUAUUUUAAAUAUUAAAAAUGCCAAAAAAUAUUUUGUUCAUUUCU
This 233-nucleotide long non-coding RNA is filed under the name Lathyrus oleraceus (garden pea). Its description in RNAcentral is "Pisum sativum (pea) long non-coding RNA (PSAT_LNC039393)". Lineage: Eukaryota; Viridiplantae; Streptophyta; Magnoliopsida; Fabales; Fabaceae. The record is from RNAcentral.